CGCCGGCGAAAAAUACAGACUAAAAAUUCAGGGGCUGCAGGGACCACAUGCUUCAGGCAACCUCCUGAACAAGUCACCGAGGGGGACAGCACACACUGCCC
Lemur catta (Ring-tailed lemur) is the source of this 101-nucleotide long non-coding RNA. RefSeq lists it as uncharacterized. NCBI's taxonomy places the organism in Eukaryota, Metazoa, Chordata, Mammalia, Primates, Lemuridae. The record is from RefSeq and is a predicted model, not a curated record. The transcript has 3 exons.